This 301-nucleotide ribosomal RNA is filed under the name uncultured bacterium. RNAcentral describes it as "partial 16S ribosomal RNA". It matches the Rfam family "Bacterial small subunit ribosomal RNA", at positions 509 to 807 of the family's 1533-position model. The record is from RNAcentral.
CAGUCGCCGCGGUAAUACGAAGGGGGCUAGCGUUGUUCGGAAUUACUGGGCGUAAAGGGCGCGUAGGCGGCCAUUCAAGUUAGAUGUGAAAGCCCUGGGCUCAACCUAGGAAUUGCAUUUGAUACUGUUUGGCUUGAGUUCGGGAGAGGUGAGUGGAAUUCCCAGUGUAGAGGUGAAAUUCGUAGAUAUUGGGAAGAACACCAGUGGCGAAGGCGGCUCACUGAACCGACACUGACGCUGAGGCGCGAAAGCGUGGGGAGCAAACAGGAUUAGAGACCCCUGUAGUCCCUGUCUCUUAUAC